Mesocricetus auratus (golden hamster) is the source of this 1606-nucleotide long non-coding RNA. RefSeq lists it as uncharacterized. The record is from RefSeq and is a predicted model, not a curated record. The transcript is spliced from 3 exons. Lineage: Eukaryota; Metazoa; Chordata; Mammalia; Rodentia; Cricetidae.
AAGAUGUGGUUUAAGGAGGAAAAUUGUUCUCGGACAGCUAUGGAAAUAAUGGCUCUCUCUGCUGUUCCCUGAGUUGCUGGCUAAGGUCACAGGAAGCAGAGUGGCGCAGGGCUUGUAAAUUACCUGGACACCACGGACAGGCUGGAUCUAAGAGAAUGGUGCCAGAGCAACACUGUCCAGUAAUUCCCUAUCCAGAGCAUUCGCAGUUGGCUGGUUGUAUGGAAGAUGGGACGGUAUGAUUUCUGUAGCCGGCCUAGACUUCAAAACAAAACAGGAGAAGCCAUUUCAUCUGACCUGCUGUCCACUCCCUGCACAAGGACGCAUCCCAGGUCCCCAGUGUCCACCCAUGUGAACCUCGGCAGACUAAACAGCAUGGUCUUCAUAAGGUCAACCUAGUACUCUCCAAACAACAUCUAAGUGUUGGUCUUGACCUCAAAUGUGCCUUUAGAGUUACAGUCCAUCAGCAACGUGGGUAGCAGCCAUCAGCUAACUUGGGAGUCCCAGUCCCAAUUCCAAGGCACAGAUUAUCUUGAUUGAUUGACCCUGGGACCUCUUUGUCUCUCUGGGAUCACCCUCCAUCUGUUUCAGAAAAGGUGUCAGAGGCGAUCUUCUCCGGAGCAUUGAAAAGAUGACUGACAACUGGGACACAAUCCAUGACAAAUCAAAGAGUGCUCCGGAGUACAACAGCUGAGUCACGAGCCAGCCUGGGUGUCCGCCAUCGGAGGGCCAGGUGAGGGGGUUGUGGCACCAGGCAGCCUGCUGGCUGCAGUCUCACCAGGAAUGCCACUGUGGCAGGACUGUCCGCAUCUGGGAGCAGAACCCUGGGACGCUGGGUUCUACCUCCCAGUUCUUACAGGGAGGAUGGGAAAACAGGGUGUGUGUGGUGGGCUGGGGGACAUGCUCAGCCUGUAACACAUGGCUGAAAAUAAAAAACUAGUAAUAAUAAAUUAAAAGAAGGUACUGUUUGAGUGACAGUACUCAGUGAUGGGGGGAAGGAGGUGGCUACAUGGAGGGUCCAGAUCUGAAUAUCAAGGGGGUUCAGUACUGACCCAUGCCUGUAGCUGUGGGACCAGGACAAAGAUCUGGGCCAACUCCUCUCAGGUGACGGAGGAGCAGGGUAAACUCGGAGCUCUGUCCAGCAGCACCUACAGGCUGAUGAGCCCAACUGAAGGAGAAGCCUCUGGAGCCUGACAUCAGAGGGGGUUAGUUCUCCAUCACCAGCAUGAGUGUGAAUCACGCGGGCAGACUGGAACUCAUACCCAAACUUCAGAUGAGCCCAGGGCUGCCUCUGAGCCUAUGAACACUGAAAAACAACAAAACAAAACAAAAAGCAAAACUAAUGUCACAUCUGCAGCGUCAACUGACUCAGCAGAGGUGACACAGAGGCCUGAAGAGCUGGCUGGUGCCCACUCUGAGAAGGCACAGGACAGUCACCUUCGUUUCCUGGCAGCUGUGACUGGAGUUGUGUCCUCUAAGGGUUCAAAUGUCAGUGCUAGGCUAUGGUGGCCCCUUAAAAGGCAGGGGCUUGUGGGUGUAGUUAUAUCAUCAGGGACUCUGCUAUUGGGAGGGAUUGGUGUGGUUUUCCUGGUCCCACAGUUAGUUGUCA